This 627-nucleotide ribosomal RNA is filed under the name uncultured bacterium. RNAcentral describes it as "bacterial SSU rRNA". It matches the Rfam family "Bacterial small subunit ribosomal RNA", at positions 338 to 961 of the family's 1533-position model. The record is from RNAcentral.
CCUACGGGAGGCAGCAGUGGGGAAUUUUGGACAAUGGGCGAAAGCCUGAUCCAGCAAUGCCGCGUGAGUGAAGAAGGCCUUCGGGUUGUAAAGCUCUUUUGUCAGGGAAGAAACGGUGAGAGCUAAUAUCUCUUGCUAAUGACGGUACCUGAAGAAUAAGCACCGGCUAACUACGUGCCAGCAGCCGCGGUAAUACGUAGGGUGCAAGCGUUAAUCGGAAUUACUGGGCGUAAAGCGUGCGCAGGCGGUUUUGUAAGUCUGAUGUGAAAUCCCCGGGCUCAACCUGGGAAUUGCAUUGGAGACUGCAAGGCUAGAAUCUGGCAGAGGGGGGUAGAAUUCCACGUGUAGCAGUGAAAUGCGUAGAUAUGUGGAGGAACACCGAUGGCGAAGGCAGCCCCCUGGGUCAAGAUUGACGCUCAUGCACGAAAGCGUGGGGAGCAAACAGGAUUAGAUACCCUGGUACGUCCACGCCCUAAACGAUGUCUACUAGUUGUCGGGUCUUAAUUGACUUGGUAACGCAGCUAACGCGUGAAGUAGACCGCCGUGGGGAGUACGGUCGCGAAGAUUAAAACCGUAGAAAGUUAGUAGGACGUGAGACGUGCGACGGAGACACGAGGGGAGGUUAGG